Molecule: transfer RNA, 72 nt
Filed under: Camelus bactrianus (Bactrian camel)
Lineage: Eukaryota; Metazoa; Chordata; Mammalia; Artiodactyla; Camelidae
Also listed under: 1 other name
Rfam family: tRNA
About the family: Transfer RNA (tRNA) molecules are approximately 80 nucleotides in length. Their secondary structure includes four short double-helical elements and three loops (D, anti-codon, and T loops).
Source: Rfam by way of RNAcentral
GAGGGUAUAGCUCAGUGGUAGAGCACAUGCUUAGCAUGCAUGAGGUACUGGGUUCAAUCCCCAGUACCUCCA